AGCAAGUCCCAACGCUAAAGCCAACGGUCAACAAUAAAUGGGUGCAAUCAUUUCAAAAAAUGGAAGAAAUUAAAACGCAAAGAAAAAGGUUUAAAGCAGAAGUUUGUAAUGAAAAGUAAAAAAUCACAACCUCUUCCCUAAAUGAAAACCAUUAUUUCCAGAGAAAACAAACCUUCUCGAUUUAAGGAGAUCCACAGACGAAUAACCGCGACACCAACGAACGUCGGCGACGAAAAUGAGACUCAACCGGAAAGCAACGAACAGAACCAGCUACGAAGAAGUCACACGGCAAUUGGGGCGGCGAACGCUUGCACCUUUCACUCUUUCACCGAUCGAUUCCACUCUAAUGCACUAAAACUCUCCUCCCUUGCCUCCGAUAUGAGCUUCAAUCCAUGGUGGUAACAAGGUGUUUCUGCCAAAAUCCCUUUUUUGUGCUCAGUUGGGGAUUCCCCUGUUUGAUGUUAACUUCGGAAACGUGAAUUCAGAGUAUUGGGGAGGUUGUGGAUGAGGUCGAGUUCAUGCAGAGAUGAUUCUUUUGCUGCAGCUUUCAUGAGCCCUUCAUCAUUACAAUUUUAAGGCCAAAUGCAGGUGCUAG
Long non-coding RNA from Lathyrus oleraceus (garden pea), 595 nucleotides. RefSeq lists it as uncharacterized. The transcript is spliced from 3 exons. Lineage: Eukaryota; Viridiplantae; Streptophyta; Magnoliopsida; Fabales; Fabaceae. The record is from RefSeq and is a predicted model, not a curated record.